AACGAACGCUGGCGACAUGCCUAACACAUGCAAGUCGAACGAGACCUUCGGGUCUAGUGGCGCACGGGUGCGUAACGCGUGGGAACCUGCCCUUAGGUUCGGAAUAACUCCCCGAAAGGGGUGCUAAUACCGGAUAAUGUCUUCGGACCAAAGAUUUAUCGCCUUUGGCUGGGCCCGCGUUGGAUUAGCUAGUUGGUAGGGUAAAAGCCUACCAAGGCGACGAUCCAUAGCUGGUCUGAGAGGAUGAUCAGCCACACUGGGACUGAGACACGGCCCAGACUCCUACGGGAGGCAGCAGUGGGGAAUAUUGGACAAUGGGCGAAAGCCUGAUCAAGCAAUGCCGCGUGAGUGAUGAAGGCCUUAGGGUUGUAAAGCUCUUUUACCCGGGAUGAUAAUGACAGUACCGAGAGAAUAAGCUCCGGCUAACUCCGUG
Molecule: ribosomal RNA, 433 nt
Filed under: uncultured bacterium
Lineage: Bacteria
Description: partial 16S ribosomal RNA
Rfam family: Bacterial small subunit ribosomal RNA
Source: RNAcentral